GGGGUACUAAUACAUGCAAGUCGAGCGGACAGAAGGGAGCUUGCUCCCGGAUGUUAGCGGCGGACGGGUGAGUAACACGUGGGUAACCUGCCUGUAAGACUGGGAUAACUCCGGGAAACCGGAGCUAAUACCGGAUAGUUCCUUGAACCGCAUGGUUCAAGGAUGAAAGACGGUUUCGGCUGUCACUUACAGAUGGACCCGCGGCGCAUUAGCUAGUUGGUGGGGUAAUGGCUCACCAAGGCGACGAUGCGUAGCCGACCUGAGAGGGUGAUCGGCCACACUGGGACUGAGACACGGCCCAGACUCCUACGGGAGGCAGCAGUAGGGAAUCUUCCGCAAUGGACGAAAGUCUGACGGAGCAACGCCGCGUGAGUGAUGAAGGUUUUCGGAUCGUAAAGCUCUGUUGUUAGGGAAGAACAAGUGCGAGAGUAACUGCUCGCACCUUGACGGUACCUAACCAGAAAGCCACGGCUAACUACGUGCCAGCAGCCGCGGUAAUACGUAGGUGGCAAGCGUUGUCCGGAAUUAUUGGGCGUAAAGGGCUCGCAGGCGGUUUCUUAAGUCUGAUGUGAAAGCCCCCGGCUCAACCGGGGAGGGUCAUUGGAAACUGGGAAACUUGAGUGCAGAAGAGGAGAGUGGAAUUCCACGUGUAGCGGUGAAAUGCGUAGAGAUGUGGAGGAACACCAGUGGCGAAGGCGACUCUCUGGUCUGUAACUGACGCUGAGGAGCGAAAGCGUGGGGAGCGAACAGGAUUAGAA
Molecule: ribosomal RNA, 758 nt
Filed under: Bacillus pumilus
Lineage: Bacteria; Bacillati; Bacillota; Bacilli; Caryophanales; Bacillaceae
Description: bacterial SSU rRNA
Rfam family: Bacterial small subunit ribosomal RNA
Source: RNAcentral